Molecule: small nuclear RNA, 32 nt
Filed under: Cervus elaphus hippelaphus
Lineage: Eukaryota; Metazoa; Chordata; Mammalia; Artiodactyla; Cervidae
Source: RNAcentral
AUACUUACCUGGCAGAGGAGAUACUGUGAUCA